AUCCAAAAUUUGAAAGUUUAGAGU
Molecule: non-coding RNA, 24 nt
Filed under: Arabidopsis thaliana (thale cress)
Lineage: Eukaryota; Viridiplantae; Streptophyta; Magnoliopsida; Brassicales; Brassicaceae
Source: RNAcentral